UACGUAGGGUGCGAGCGUUAAUCGGAAUUACUGGGCGUAAAGCGUGCGCAGGCGGUUUUGUAAGCCAGAUGUGAAAUCCCCGGGCUCAACCUGGGAAUGGCAUUUGGGACUGCAAGGCUCGAGUGCGGCAGAGGAGACUGGAAUUCCUGGUGUAGCAGUGAAAUGCGUAGAUAUCAGGAGGAACACCGAUGGCGAAGGCAGGUCUCUGGGCUGACACUGACGCUCAUGCACGAAAGCGUGGGGAGCAAACAGG
Molecule: ribosomal RNA, 253 nt
Filed under: uncultured bacterium
Lineage: Bacteria
Description: partial 16S ribosomal RNA
Rfam family: Bacterial small subunit ribosomal RNA
Source: RNAcentral